CAGUAGCGUAUAUUAAAGUUGUUGCAGUUAAAAAGCUCGUAGUUGGAUUUCUGGUUGAAGCGACCGGUCGGGCGUUGAUUCGUCUGCACUGGAGUCGGUUUUGGCCAUCCUCUAGGAAAGUGCGUCUGGUAUUAAGUUAUCGGGCGUAUGAUCCUGGUCUUUUACUGUGAAAAAAUUAGAGUGUUUAAAGCAGGCCUUCGCCUUGAAUACAUUAGCAUGGAAUAAUAAGAUAGGACUUUGGUCUAUUUUGUUGGUUUGCAGACCGAAGUAAUGAUUAAUAGGGAUAGUUGGGGGUAUCUAUAUUCCGAUGUCAGAGGUGAAAUUCUUAGAUUUUCGGAAGAUAAACUUAUGCGAAAGCAUUUACCAAGGAUGUUUUCAUUA
Molecule: ribosomal RNA, 381 nt
Filed under: uncultured eukaryote
Lineage: Eukaryota
Description: partial 18S ribosomal RNA
Rfam family: Eukaryotic small subunit ribosomal RNA
Source: RNAcentral